This 473-nucleotide ribosomal RNA is filed under the name Carinoma tremaphoros. RNAcentral describes it as "partial 16S ribosomal RNA". It matches the Rfam family "Bacterial large subunit ribosomal RNA", at positions 1910 to 2597 of the family's 2925-position model. Lineage: Eukaryota; Metazoa; Nemertea; Palaeonemertea; Carinomiformes; Carinomidae. The record is from RNAcentral.
CGGUGACUUUUUGUUUAACGGCCGCGGUAUUUUGACCGUGCAAAGGUAGCAUAAUCAUUAGCUUCAUAAUUGGAGGCUUGUAUGAAUGGGUUUACAAGGUAGCUGCUGUCUCUUAAUUCUAUUUUGAAAUUUCUUUUCUAGUGAAGAAGCUAGAGUUUGUUCGUAGGACGAGAAGACCCUAUUGAGCUUUACUUUGAUAUCUCUUUAUUUUUUUGUUAAUUAUUCUUUGAAGUGUUUAAAAAAGUUUGACUGGGGCGGUUGAGGAAAUAAUUUAACUUCCUUUUAUUUUGUUAUUGUUAUUAGUUUUUAGAUCCGAGUGUCUCGAUUAAAAGAAUAAGUUACCAUAGGGAUAACAGCGUAAUCUUUUUUUAGAGUUCUUAUCGAUAAAAGGGUUUGCGACCUCGAUGUUGGACUAGGAUAUCCUAAUGGUGUAGUCGCUAUUGAGGGUAGGUCUGUUCGACCUUUAAUAUCCU